GACAAGCGGUGGAGCAUGUGGUUUAAUUCGAAGCAACGCGAAGAACCUUACCAGGUCUUGACAUCCCGAUGCUAUUUCUAGAGAUAGAAAGGUACUUCGGUACAUCGGUGACAGGUGGUGCAUGGUUGUCGUCAGCUCGUGUCGUGAGAUGUUGGGUUAAGUCCCGCAACGAGCGCAACCCUUGUCUUUAGUUGCCAUCAUUAAGUUGGGCACUCUAAAGAGACUGCCGAUGACAAAUCGGAGGAAGGUGGGGAUGACGUCAAAUCAUCAUGCCCUUUAUGUCCUGGGCUACACACGUGCUACAAUGGUCGGUACAACGAGAAGCAAGCCAGCGAUGGCAAGCAAAUCUCUAAAAGCCGAUCCCAGUUCGGAUUGCAGGCUGCAACUCGCCUGCAUGAAGUCGGAGUUGCUAGUAAUCGCGGAUCAGAAUGCCGCGGUGAAUGCGUUCCCGGGUCUU
Molecule: ribosomal RNA, 457 nt
Filed under: uncultured Eubacteriales bacterium
Lineage: Bacteria; Bacillati; Bacillota; Clostridia; Eubacteriales
Description: bacterial SSU rRNA
Rfam family: Bacterial small subunit ribosomal RNA
Source: RNAcentral